RNAcentral lists this ribosomal RNA (993 nucleotides) under uncultured Clostridium sp. RNAcentral describes it as "bacterial SSU rRNA". It matches the Rfam family "Bacterial small subunit ribosomal RNA", at positions 509 to 1503 of the family's 1533-position model. The record is from RNAcentral. Lineage: Bacteria; Bacillati; Bacillota; Clostridia; Eubacteriales; Clostridiaceae.
CAGCAGCCGCGUAAUACGUAGGUGGCGAGCGUUGUCCGGAAUUACUGGGCGUAAAGGAUGCGUAGGUGGAUACUUAAGUGGGAUGUGAAAUCCCCGGGCUCAACCCGGGAACUGCAUUCCAAACUGGGUAUCUAGAGUGCAGGAGAGGAAAGCGGAAUUCCUAGUGUAGCGGUGAAAUGCGUAGAUAUUAGGAGGAACACCAGUGGCGAAGGCGGCUUUCUGGACUGUAACUGACACUGAGGCAUGAAAGCGUGGGUAGCAAACAGGAUUAGAUACCCUGGUAGUCCACGCCGUAAACGAUGGGUACUAGGUGUAGGAGGUAUCGACCCCUUCUGUGCCGUCGUUAACACAAUAAGUACCCCGCCUGGGGAGUACGGUCGCAAGACUAAAACUCAAAGGAAUUGACGGGGGCCCGCACAAGCAGCGGAGCAUGUGGUUUAAUUCGAAGCAACGCGAAGAACCUUACCUAGACUUGACAUCUCCUGAAUUACCCUUAACCGGGGAAGCCCUUCGGGGCAGGAAGACAGGUGGUGCAUGGUUGUCGUCAGCUCGUGUCGUGAGAUGUUGGGUUAAGUCCCGCAACGAGCGCAACCCUUAUUUUUAGUUGCUACCAUUUGGUUGAGCACUCUAAAGAGGCUGCCCGGGUUAACCGGGAGGAAGGUGGGGAUGACGUCAAAUCAUCAUGCCCCUUAUGUCUAGGGCUACACACGUGCUACAAUGGUGAGAACAAAGAGACGCGAGACCGCGAGGUGGAGCAAAUCUCAUAAAACUCAUCCCAGUUCGGAUUGCAGGCUGAAACUCGCCUGCAUGAAGCCGGAGUUGCUAGUAAUCGCGAAUCAGCAUGUCGCGGUGAAUACGUUCCCGGGCCUUGUACACACCGCCCGUCACACCAUGAGAGUCGGCAAUACCCGAAGCCCGUGGGGCAACCAGUAAUGGAGCCAGCGGCCGAAGGUAGGGUCAGCGAUUGGGGUGAAGUCGUAACAAGGUAGCCGU